AUGGAUUGCAGCUGCCCAACUCCGUUCUCAACCAGGAAGGACAUGGCCAAACCCCAAUUAAGAUGGGAAUCUAAGUGACAGUGCAGUAGCCAAAUUCCUGUUCCAUACCAGAGUGAGUGAAUGAGAGGUACAGCAUUAGUGAUGUAGAAUAUUUGUUGGAAUAUAAAUUUCAGCGGGUUACCUGGAUUAUCAGCAACGAACCGGAUGGCCACCCAACCCCCUGGAGGGGUGCCAAUGGUGUUCCUAAGUGGUGGGUCAAUGAGGUUGAACUUGGCCGUAUCUGUUGCUGCGUUGAAGUUGCCAAAGCCCAUCCCAACAACAGCGAAAUGAUAACCAUGGAGAUGCAUUGGGUGGUCCUCAGUUGUGACAAUACUGGUAUCCUGAAACACAAGUUGUACUUUGGAACCAUAUUUGAGCUUGUAAAGCUUAGUUCCUGGAACAGGUUGCCAUAGCCCUCGGCUCACAUUUCCUGUGUAAUCAAAUUGCAAAGGAGGAACAGGUGGAAAAUCUGUGGUGAAGAUGCCAGGUUGACCUUGGUAGUAAGCUUGCAUUAAGGAGUUUCGUCUUGGGAGUGCAAAGGACACAUUGUUGAUACUGGCAGUAAAUCGAGUUCCAUUUGGA
This 621-nucleotide unclassified non-coding RNA is filed under the name Hevea brasiliensis (rubber tree). The record is from RNAcentral. Lineage: Eukaryota; Viridiplantae; Streptophyta; Magnoliopsida; Malpighiales; Euphorbiaceae.